UCCGUAGGUGAACCUGCGGAAGGAUCAUUACCGAGUGAGGGCCCUCUGGGUCCAACCUCCCACCCGUGUUUAUUUUACCUUGUUGCUUCGGCGGGCCCGCCUUAACUGGCCGCCGGGGGGCUCACGCCCCCGGGCCCGCGCCCGCCGAAGACACCCUCGAACUCUGUCUGAAGAUUGAAGUCUGAGUGAAAAUAUAAAUUAUUUAAAACUUUCAACAACGGAUCUCUUGGUUCCGGCAUCGAUGAAGAACGCAGCGAAAUGCGAUACGUAAUGUGAAUUGCAAAUUCAGUGAAUCAUCGAGUCUUUGAACGCACAUUGCGCCCCCUGGUAUUCCGGGGGGCAUGCCUGUCCGAGCGUCAUUGCUGCCCUCAAGCCCGGCUUGUGUGUUGGGCCCCGUCCUCCGAUCUCCGGGGGACGGGCCCGAAAGGCAGCGGCGGCACCGCGUCCGGUCCUCGAGCGUAUGGGGCUUUGUCACCCGCUCUGUAGGCCCGGCCGGCGCUUGCCGAUCAACCCAAAUUUUUAUCCAGGUUGACCUCGGAUCAGGUAGGGAUACCCGCUGAACUUAAGCAUAUCAAUAAGCGGAGGA
This 586-nucleotide ribosomal RNA is filed under the name Penicillium commune. RNAcentral's name for it is "eukaryotic LSU rRNA". The stretch from base 207 to 359 matches the Rfam family "5.8S ribosomal RNA". The record is from RNAcentral. RNAcentral also lists the same sequence under 1 other name. Lineage: Eukaryota; Fungi; Ascomycota; Eurotiomycetes; Eurotiales; Aspergillaceae.